GCCUUUUAAAAUAUUGUUUCUGUCACUUCUACUUAAAGAGUUAUUUUAUCUGAUUCAUAAAUUUGGACUUGACAUAGAAGUCUAAGAAGUGAGGUAAAGAAGCCUUUUAAUUCUCUGCAUCUUCUUCGUUUCUUCUUUUCUUCUCGGUUGGAUGUUCUAAUUUCAGGUCUGCUCCUCUCAAUUUUUGCCUGAAUUUUCUUAUCCUUUUUUCUUUUCGUUUUUUCCUUUCGGUGUUUUUGUUGGGUUCUCUUCAUACUUCUCAUAGUUAUGCUAUCAUUUGCUUCUCUCUCUUUGCUUAAUUUCUAUUUUCUCGCUUUUAAUUUUUCUUUGUUGGUAUAUUCUUUUUUGCUUUAUUUAUUGGACAAUAAAAUCUUGGGUGUUGUGAAUUAAUACUGAAUAUUUUUACUUUUGGUGUUUGACAGGAUACUUUUGUUUAGGAUUCAUUGGCAAAGGCGCAUGAGUCAUCAUUAUUUCUAGGUUGUUGUACACCCAAAGGUCUCAUGAGACUGUAUUGAAGUUUGUUACGGGGAUUUGAUGUGGUUCUUUAGCUUGAGCAGUUGAAUUUUCUCUCUGGAAAGCUUCUGAAAUUUGUCAAUGCAGGCAACAAGACUUUGUAGGUAUUGCUUUAUGCUGUAAAGGCUUUGAAUUGAAAUUUCAUGCUCGCUUAUGAGACCCUCACUAUAAGGAAUCAGAAUAAGGUAGUUAUCUUAAAUGGAGAUUAAGACCAACUUAAUUAGAAUUGGUGAUUUUGUGAAAUUUAUGCUGCUUGAAAAACUUUAUGAGCAUUGUAAGCUCUCCUUAUAGUCAAAAGAAUCAACACAAAGUGGAUGGGGAUUGUAAAUUAGUAUUUUCAUGUUGUGCUGCAUGAAUCAGCCUGGGAUAAAUUGGGG
This 890-nucleotide long non-coding RNA is filed under the name Nicotiana tabacum (common tobacco). RNAcentral describes it as "long non-coding RNA (NTAB_LNC006185)". Lineage: Eukaryota; Viridiplantae; Streptophyta; Magnoliopsida; Solanales; Solanaceae. The record is from RNAcentral.